This 301-nucleotide ribosomal RNA is filed under the name uncultured bacterium. RNAcentral describes it as "partial 16S ribosomal RNA". It matches the Rfam family "Bacterial small subunit ribosomal RNA", at positions 509 to 807 of the family's 1533-position model. The record is from RNAcentral.
CAGUCGCCGCGGGAAUACGAAGGGUGCAAGCGUUAAUCGGAAUUACUGGGCGUAAAGCGUGCGUAGGCGGUGAGUUAAGUCUGCUGUGAAAUCCCCGAGCUUAACUUGGGAACUGCAUUUGAAACUGGCAAGCUAGAGUCUUGUAGAGGGGGGUAGAAUUCCAGGUGUAGCGGUGAAAUGCGUAGAGAUCUGGAGGAAUACCGGUGGCGAAGGCGGCCCCCUGGACAAAGACUGACGCUCAGGUGCGAAAGCGUGGGGAGCAAACAGGAUUAGAUACCCGGGUAGUCCCUGUCUCUUAUAC